CCUACGGGGGGCAGCAGUGAGGAAUAUUGGUCAAUGGACGAGAGUCUGACCCAGCCAAGUAGCGUGAAGGAUGACUGCCCUAUGGGUUGUAACCUUCUUUUAUAUGGGAAUAUAAUGUUCCACGUGUGGGAUUUUGUAUGUACCAUAUGAAUAAGGAUCGGCUAACUCCGUGCCAGCAGCCGCGGUAAUACGGAGGGUCCGAGCGUUAUCCGGAUUUAUUGGGUGUAAAGGGAGCGUAGGUGGAUUGUUAAGUCAGUUGUGAAAGUUUGCGGCUCAACCGUAAAAUUGCAGUUGAAACUGGCAGUCUUGAGUACAGUAGAGGUGGGCGGAAUUCGUGGUGUAGCGGUGAAAUGCUUAGAUAUCACGAAGAACUCCGAUUGCGAAGGCAGCUCACUGGACUGCAACUGACACUGAGGCUCGAAAGUGUGGGUAUCAAACAGGAUUAGAUACCCGUGUAGUC
This 460-nucleotide ribosomal RNA is filed under the name uncultured bacterium. Its description in RNAcentral is "partial 16S ribosomal RNA". It matches the Rfam family "Bacterial small subunit ribosomal RNA", at positions 338 to 795 of the family's 1533-position model. The record is from RNAcentral.